Molecule: ribosomal RNA, 484 nt
Filed under: uncultured bacterium
Lineage: Bacteria
Description: partial 16S ribosomal RNA
Rfam family: Bacterial small subunit ribosomal RNA
Source: RNAcentral
AUUGAACGCUAGCGGGAUGCUUUACACAUGCAAGUCGAACGGCAGCGCGGACUUCGGUCUGGCGGCGAGUGGCGAACGGGUGAGUAAUGUAUCGGAACGUGCCCAGUAGCGGGGGAUAACUACGCGAAAGCGUAGCUAAUACCGCAUACGCCCUACGGGGGAAAGCUGGGGAUCGUAAAACCUUGCACUAUUGGAGCGGCCGAUAUCGGAUUAGCUAGUUGGUGAGGUAACGGCUCACCAAGGCGACGAUCCGUAGCUGGUUUGAGAGGACGACCAGCCACACUGGGACUGAGACACGGCCCAGACUCCUACGGGAGGCAGCAGUGGGGAAUUUUGGACAAUGGGGGCAACCCUGAUCCAGCCAUCCCGCGUGGGCGAUGAAGGCCUUCGGGUUGUAAAGCACUUUUGGCAGGAAAGAAACGUCGCGGGCUAAUAACCCGUGGAACUGACGGUACCUGCAGAAUAAGCACCGGCUAACUACGUG